AGCGAAGGCUGGCGGUAGGCCUAACACAUGCAAGUCGAACGGCAGCACAGUAAGAGCUUGCUCUUACGGGUGGCGAGUGGCGGACGGGUGAGGAAUACAUCGGAAUCUACUUUUUCGUGGGGGAUAACGUAGGGAAACUUACGCUAAUACCGCAUACGACCUACGGGUGAAAGCAGGGGAUCUUCGGACCUUGCGCGAUUGAAUGAGCCGAUGUCGGAUUAGCUAGUUGGCGGGGUAAAGGCCCACCAAGGCGACGAUCCGUAGCUGGUCUGAGAGGAUGAUCAGCCACACUGGAACUGAGACACGGUCCAGACUCCUACGGGAGGCAGCAGUGGGGAAUAUUGGACAAUGGGCGCAAGCAUGAUCCAGCCAUACCGCGUGGGUGAAGAAGGCCUUCGGGUUGUAAAGCCCUUUUGUUGGGAAAGAAAAGCAGCAGGUUAAUACCCCGCUGUUCUGACGGUACCCAAAGAAUAAGCACCGGCUAACUUCGUG
This 492-nucleotide ribosomal RNA is filed under the name uncultured bacterium. Its description in RNAcentral is "partial 16S ribosomal RNA". It matches the Rfam family "Bacterial small subunit ribosomal RNA", at positions 29 to 507 of the family's 1533-position model. The record is from RNAcentral.